Molecule: long non-coding RNA, 1939 nt
Organism: Anser cygnoides (Swan goose)
Lineage: Eukaryota; Metazoa; Chordata; Aves; Anseriformes; Anatidae
Source: Ensembl
CCUUGCCUUUGUAAGUUAUUUCUAACUUCUGCUGAAAAUGCUAUUAGUUGAUGAUCUUUUUUAUUUAUUAACAGCCUGGAAAAUUAAAUGUGUAAUCAAAGAAUGGAUCCUUUCCUAAAAGUGCAAGGUGGGAUGAAUUAGAUCAGUGGUACAAAAAAAAAAAAAAAAAAAAAAACGUUCUUUACUGCAGUAGGCCAUUGGAUACUCUGGGAAGAAGGGAAGAAGGGACUUAAACANNNNNNNNNNNNNNNNNNNNAAAAAAAAAAAAAAAAAAAACGUUCUUUACUGCAGUAGGCCAUUGGAUACUCUGGGAAGAAGGGAAGAAGGGACUUAAACAAAACAUUAAAUUGAAGAGGAUUCAGAGGUUCAAUCACUAACAGCCACUGCAAGACAGAGAAAUCCUCUUUAGAUAGAUAUUUUCUCUGCAUUUGUUUCCAAACUGUAAUUCUGCUCCGUGAUUAAAAAAAAAAAAAAAAAAAAAAAAAGAUUUUAUAUUUCAGUCUCUCAGGGCAGAUUCCAAAUAAUUACAUGCAAAAUGAUCUAUAAUAUAUUUAUUGCAAAUAGUAUUGCAGAACACAAAUGUGCAUUUUAUUCAGAAAGGUCAUUUUUUAAAACAUCCAUUGUAGCUGAUUCACUAACGUCCAGGGGUUUUUGCUAUACACACAGCACAGAUUUUUUUGAUUAUGUAGAUUUUUUUUUCUAUUGCAGUUUCAUAUGCAAAGCAUGCAUCAGCCACAUCCAUGCUAUCUCCUAAAGCAGUCAUUCUGAAACCCAAUCUGGGGACAGUGCAGACUAAAUAAAAUUUCAUUUUGAUUUGGCCUCCCGCUGAGAAUGGGACUGCUUUGUUUCAGCCGACAGAACCAGCAAGCCAGAAAGGUGUUGAAUACACAAAUACUGACUUAAUGGACAAUUAUGGUCAUUGUGGUAGAGGAAAUAUUUUUAUCUGGGCGUCAGGAAAUGGUGGUCUGGCUAGUGACUGCAGUGGUGUGGAUGGUUACAUGAACAGCAUUUACUCAGGGGCAAAGCAUGCCAUCGUUUACCUCUGCUCCAGAAGUCCUGGACUACAAGAACAAAUCAACAUCAAUGCCACCUGGAAAUAUCCAUUGAGGAAGGAUUGUGGAGUCUAGUACCCUGAAACAACCCUUCAACCUGAAGCAAGGUUGCCACAGAACUUUAGAGGUGGAAGUAUUUGAGAAUUCAAAGACAUCCUGCACAAAUCCUUUCAAAUGCUGUUGUUGUUUUGAUUCUUCAGCCCAAGUAAGGAUGAUACAUGUCUUGCUUUCAGUUCACAUGACAAAGAUAUGACAUUGUUGUCACUGAUCCUUAAGAAAACUAUAUGAGUCAAAUUACAGUAGAGACAAAAGUUGGAACAAAGCCCUCUUUCUUGUUGAAACAGUUUGCUGUUUUACUGUCUUUUGCUCAGCUGGUGGUACUGUAUGUAGUCUACAAGUAGAUUAAAUACAUUUUAGGUGCAUGAAAGAAAAGUUACUAUUUAAAAACAUAAGAUUCCUUUAGGAAAAUAAUUGGAGGCAGUAAUAGUCAUUAACUCUGAAAUACAUUAUUCUUCCCACAGUUCCUCAUAUAAAGCAAACUCUGUUGCAUGCCACAGUAUUAAACAAUAUAUGAGUUAAAUAUCUUCUUCAAAGAUGCAUGGCCUAAAACAUGAAAAAUUAGAGUAUAUGCAAAUCAUCAUAAAGGACUGACUUUACUGACCAUUUCUUUGUGUUUGGGGGAUAGAUUUCUGCAUGGCAUAAUAUUUCCACUUGCAUUGGUUUCCUGGCAUGAAAAUGUUUAUUGCACUCAUUAGCUAAGAGGAUGUCGGCACUGGUCCAAUGAACACAGAUCUGCCUUCUGAUUUCAGCCAUUAAAUUGCAAUGGGAUUCAUAGGCUUAACAUUGUGGGUGUGAGAAUAAUAAAAUGGAACUCCAUCUUUAGCCCA